UUCUUGGAUCAUACUAUCCUGAGAGAACCUGAUCUUGUCUAAUAUUGGAAGCUAAGCAGCUUUAGGCCUUGUUAGUUCCUGAAUGAGAGAAAAGAAGGCUGGUCACUACC
This 110-nucleotide ribosomal RNA is filed under the name Erinaceus europaeus (western European hedgehog). The record is from RNAcentral. Lineage: Eukaryota; Metazoa; Chordata; Mammalia; Eulipotyphla; Erinaceidae.